Molecule: ribosomal RNA, 377 nt
Filed under: uncultured eukaryote
Lineage: Eukaryota
Description: partial 18S ribosomal RNA
Rfam family: Eukaryotic small subunit ribosomal RNA
Source: RNAcentral
CAAUAGCGUAUAUUUAAGUUGCUGCAGUUAAAAAGCUCGUAGUUGGAUUUCGGGUGGGAAUGGCCGGUCCGCCGUUUCGGUGUGCACUUGCUACGCCCACCUUGCUGCCGGGGACGUGCUCUUGAGUUCACGUUCGGGACACGGAGUCGGCGAGGUUACUUUGAGUAAAUUAGAGUGUUCAAAGCAGGCCUACGCUCUGAAUACAUUAGCAUGGAAUAACACGAUAGGACUCUGGCCUAUCUUGUUGGUCUGUAGGACCGGAGUAAUGAUUAAGAGGGACAGUCGGGGGCAUUCGUAUUUCAUUGUCAGAGGUGAAAUUCUUGGAUUUAUGAAAGACGAACUACUGCGAAAGCAUUUGCCAAGGAUGUUUUCAUUGA